Long non-coding RNA from Trematomus bernacchii (emerald rockcod), 528 nucleotides. RefSeq lists it as uncharacterized. The record is from RefSeq and is a predicted model, not a curated record. The transcript is spliced from 3 exons. NCBI's taxonomy places the organism in Eukaryota, Metazoa, Chordata, Actinopteri, Perciformes, Nototheniidae.
CCUAUGAAGAACAACCUAACUCUAUGAGAACAACACUUAUGGAGGAGAAAUCGACGUGACUGACAUUUUCAUCUGAAGCGGGAGGUCAAACGGUUUCCUGAACUUCUCCCAUACAAUGGACCUGACGAGCGUGACAAACUGAGUGAGGAGUUUCUGGACUACCAGUCCAUGGACAUUGCCAUGCCCGAAGACCCAGCCACGUUCGACAUUGAGAGCUUUUGGGGAAACAUGGCAUCAAUGAAGAAUAAGGUGACCGGUAUGAGCAGAUUUGGCAGGCUCUCUCGUAUUGCCAAGUUGGUGUUGGUACUUCCACAUUCAAAUGCUGAUGCUGAACGAGUGUUCUCUGGUGGGACUGAACAAAACCAAAACCCGAAACAGUUUGGCUCUUGAUGGAACUCUAUCAUCCAUCAUGACUGUGAAGAUGGCAAACCUUGAGCCACAGUGUUUCAAAUGGGAGCCCCCUCCCUCUGUCAUCAAGGCAUCAAAAUCUGCCACAAACACCUACAACAUGAGACAUGUCAUGUAAAC